Molecule: ribosomal RNA, 253 nt
Filed under: uncultured bacterium
Lineage: Bacteria
Description: partial 16S ribosomal RNA
Rfam family: Bacterial small subunit ribosomal RNA
Source: RNAcentral
UACGGGGGGUGCGAGCGUUGUCCGGAAUCACUGGGCGUAAAGGGCGCGUAGGUGGUUUGAUAAGGGUGUGGUGAAAGUCCGGGGCUCAACCCCGGAUCUGCCGUGCCGACUGUCAAACUCGAGGGCUGUAGAGGCAGACGGAAUUCCGGGUGUAGCGGUGGAAUGCGUAGAGAUCCGGAGGAAGACCGGUGGCGAAGGCGGUCUGCUGGGCAGUUUCUGACACUGAGGCGCGAAAGCUAGGGUAGCAAACGGG